This 306-nucleotide ribosomal RNA is filed under the name Triticum aestivum (bread wheat). RNAcentral's name for it is "partial small subunit ribosomal RNA". Lineage: Eukaryota; Viridiplantae; Streptophyta; Magnoliopsida; Poales; Poaceae. The record is from RNAcentral.
AUGGAGGACGGUGCAGAGCUAAGGAAGCAGCGGAGCUCUGAGCUCGGCUCCAUGGCGGUAGCUGCGAGCGGCGCCUGGAGGAAGCAGGGAAGCGACAACGGCGACCUUGGCGCGGAGGGAGGAGGUCCGGCGGUGGCCCAAGGGCGCAAGUCAACUGGGAGGCCGGAGAAGGGGAUGGAGCGUUGGGGAGCUCCUCUCCCUGGCGAAGGGAGGCGACGACAGGAAGAUGGAGGGGAUCGAGGGAGAGAAGAGCGAGGGAGAUGGGGCGCUGGGUCUGGCCUCUGGCGGCACGAGGGGAGAGGAUGA